This 250-nucleotide ribosomal RNA is filed under the name uncultured bacterium. Its description in RNAcentral is "partial 16S ribosomal RNA". It matches the Rfam family "Bacterial small subunit ribosomal RNA", at positions 524 to 773 of the family's 1533-position model. The record is from RNAcentral.
UACGGAGGGUGCAAGCAUUGAUCGGAAUUAUUGGGCGUAAAGGGCGCGUAGGCGGCCGAAAAAGUCAGAUGUGAAAUUCCAGGGCUCAACCCUGGAGCUGCAUUUGAAACUUUUCGGCUAGAGUGUAGCUAGGGAAAAUGGAAUUCCACGUGUAGCGGUGAAAUGCGUAGAUAUGUGGAAGAACACCGGUGGUGAAGACGAUUUUCUGGGCUAUAACUGACGCUGAGGCGCGAAAGCUAGGGGAGCAAAC